GCUUACGGCCAUACCACCCUGAACGCGCCGAUCUCGUCUGAUCUCGGAAGCCAAGCAGGGUCGGGCCUGGUCAGUACUUGGACGGGAGACCGCCUGGGAAUACCAGGUGCUGUAAGCU
RNAcentral lists this ribosomal RNA (118 nucleotides) under Oreochromis niloticus (Nile tilapia). Lineage: Eukaryota; Metazoa; Chordata; Actinopteri; Cichliformes; Cichlidae. The record is from RNAcentral.